This 820-nucleotide ribosomal RNA is filed under the name uncultured archaeon. RNAcentral's name for it is "bacterial SSU rRNA". It matches the Rfam family "Archaeal small subunit ribosomal RNA", at positions 36 to 859 of the family's 1478-position model. The record is from RNAcentral.
GGAUGGUCUAGCCUGCGAGUCGUUGUAGCAAUACAAGGCGGACGGCUCAGUAACACGUAGUCAAUCAAACCUAUGGACGUGGAUAACCUCGGGAAACUGAGAAUAAACCGCGAUAGAUCAUAAUGCCUGGAAUGGCUUAUGGUCCAAACAAUUUAUUGCCGUAGGAUGGGACUGCGGCCUAUCAGCUUGUUGGUGAGGUAAUGGCCCACCAAGGCUAUAACAGGUACGGGCUCUGAGAGGAGAAGCCCGGAGAUGGGUACUGAGACACGGACCCAGGCCCUAUGGGGCGCAGCAGGCGAGAAACCUUAGCAAUGUGCGAAAGCACGACUAGGUUAAUCCGAGUGGUUCCUGCUAAAGGAACCUUUUGUCAGUCGUAAAACCACAGACGAAUAAGGGGUGGGCAAGUCUGGUGUCAGCCGCCGCGGUAAUACCAGCACCUCGAGUGGUCAGGAGGUUUAUUGGGCCUAAAGCAUCCGUAGCCGGCUAUGCAAAGUCUCCGGUUAAAUCCAACUGCUCAACAGAUGGGCUGCCGGAGAUACUACAUAGCUAGGGAGCGGGAGAGGAAGACGGUAUUCUGUGGGUAGGGGUAAAAUCCACUGAUCCAUAGAGGACCACCAGUGGCGAAGGCGGUCUUCCAGAACGCGUUCGACGGUGAGGGAUGAAAGCUGGGGGAGCAAACCGGAUUAGAUACCCGGGUAGUCCCAGCUGUAAACGAUGCAACCUCGGUGAUGCGUUGGCUUAUGGCCCAACGCAGUGCCGCAGGAGAAGCCGUUAAGUUUGCCGCCCUGGGAAGUUACGGACGCAAGUUCUGAAAACUUCA